RNAcentral lists this ribosomal RNA (721 nucleotides) under uncultured Enterobacterales bacterium. RNAcentral describes it as "bacterial SSU rRNA". It matches the Rfam family "Bacterial small subunit ribosomal RNA", at positions 55 to 765 of the family's 1533-position model. Lineage: Bacteria; Pseudomonadati; Pseudomonadota; Gammaproteobacteria; Enterobacterales. The record is from RNAcentral.
AUGCAAGUCGAACGGUAACAGGAAGCAGCUUGCUGCUUCGCUGACGAGUGGCGGACGGGUGAGUAAUGUCUGGGAAACUGCCUGAUGGAGGGGGAUAACUACUGGAAACGGUAGCUAAUACCGCAUAACGUCGCAAGACCAAAGAGGGGGACCUUCGGGCCUCUUGCCAUCGGAUGUGCCCAGAUGGGAUUAGCUAGUAGGUGGGGUAACGGCUCACCUAGGCGACGAUCCCUAGCUGGUCUGAGAGGAUGACCAGCCACACUGGAACUGAGACACGGUCCAGACUCCUACGGGAGGCAGCAGUGGGGAAUAUUGCACAAUGGGCGCAAGCCUGAUGCAGCCAUGCCGCGUGUAUGAAGAAGGCCUUCGGGUUGUAAAGUACUUUCAGCGGGGAGGAAGGCGACAGGGUUAAUAACCCUGUCGAUUGACGUUACCCGCAGAAGAAGCACCGGCUAACUCCGUGCCAGCAGCCGCGGUAAUACGGAGGGUGCAAGCGUUAAUCGGAAUUACUGGGCGUAAAGCGCACGCAGGCGGUCUGUCAAGUCGGAUGUGAAAUCCCCGGGCUCAACCUGGGAACUGCAUUCGAAACUGGCAGGCUAGAGUCUUGUAGAGGGGGGUAGAAUUCCAGGCGUAGCGGUGAAAUGCGUAGAGAUCUGGAGGAAUACCGGUGGCGAAGGCGGCCCCGUGGACAAAGACUGACGCUCAGGUGCGAAAGCGUGGG